This is a non-coding RNA of Acanthosepion pharaonis, 105 nucleotides long. Lineage: Eukaryota; Metazoa; Mollusca; Cephalopoda; Sepiida; Sepiidae. The record is from the annotation of a GenBank genome assembly.
AAUCACGCCGAAAACAACGUUUCUUGUUCGAUCACCGAAGUUAAACAAUGUCGAACCCGGUCAGUACUUAGAUAGGGCACCGCUUGGGAAUACCGGGUAGUGUAA